Long non-coding RNA from Ipomoea nil (Japanese morning glory), 1364 nucleotides. RefSeq lists it as uncharacterized. The record is from RefSeq and is a predicted model, not a curated record. NCBI's taxonomy places the organism in Eukaryota, Viridiplantae, Streptophyta, Magnoliopsida, Solanales, Convolvulaceae. The transcript has 7 exons.
CAAAAAUUUUCCCUCUCAACUUUCCGCCUUUACGCCUUUCUCAACCCACCUCAACCUCCAUCUCCUCUACCGUUCCUCCAUCUCCAAAACCUAAAUCCGUCGCCUACCGCUUACUACAAGAAAAAUGCCCAAGACUCCAACGUCGCGACAAUCAUUCCCAACGCCUGGGUGUUUGCCGUCAAAAUCGCUCGUCGACAUCGCCGUCUCUGCUGCGCUACAAGUUCUAUUACUCAAAUCUUAAACCCUAAUCCCUAAAAUCUUAAUUCUAUUUAUCCCUAAAUCAUAAUUUCAUUAAUCCCUAAAUUCUUUAUGUGAUAGUUAUUUUUACGCACCUGUGCGGAUGUAUAGGUUCGUAAGUGUUAGUGUGGAGUUCUUGACUUUUUUCUGUGUUGAUUUCAGAUGAGCAAUCAGUGGAGUAAUUCUAAAAAGGCACCGGCUGGGAAAAGCCGAUACAUAUGGUGGUAGUAGAUCGGAGUUAUCCAGUGAAGUGUUAUUUGAUGAUUAUGGACGACCUAUUAAUAUUCCAGGUGGGAAGGAAUAGAAGGGUUCUGAGAGUUUUCCAUGGCCAGACUGACAUGGACGUGCUAUGUCAGAUUGGACUUGAUGGGAUUAGAAUACUUGAGCCUGCUACAAGCAGAACUCUAAAGAUAUAUCAACUUGAUAAUGUGGCAAGAUGGGAGGUAUUGGAUUCAUAUAUAUUUGCAUUUUGGACCAAAAGCUCUGUUGACACUGAACCUAAAUAGAUCGGGCUUAAAUCAAACAGCUAUACCACAAACAAUAUCCUGGAUGUCGUGACAGCAGCAAUUAUUCAGGUCAAUGAAAUGGGUGAAACUAAUAGACCUUCAAAUCUUACCAGAGGUGGAUCUGAGCAACUUGCAUACAUGAAGAAAUGUUUUACUGAUUGGAUGAAAAUAAUGAGGCCACAAAAUGAAGAGAAACAUCACUGGAUUUUUGUGUUUUAGUUUAUGUUGGGCAAACUAUUGAAAGCUUUUCAUUUAAUAGCUUCUUGAUGAAGCAGUCACCAAGUUCAGUAAUUAUUGAAGUGUUGGCACCAUCUUCCUAAUGAGGCUAUUCAAUCUGGGUGUAUGAGCCAUUUCAUAUACUUCAAAUGGGAGCUUGGCCAAAGACAACUCUUACAAAGGACGCUAAUUAGACUACGAAAAAUGCUUGUGUCUAUGUAAUGAGAAGCAUGAAGCACAUAAGGUCUUUCUUUAAAAUGUAUCUUUGGUCACUACAAUAUUUAGAUUUAGUGAUUGGAAUUGUUCAUUGUAUUUUAAAGUAGAUGAUGAAUUUUUGUGUAUUUUGAAAUACUUUACAUACUUGUAAAAGAUGAUUGUACUAAUGAAUUGAUGCUUUGAUAUUUA